RNAcentral lists this small RNA (178 nucleotides) under Chrysemys picta bellii (western painted turtle). RNAcentral's name for it is "TUC338 (ENSCPBG00000010327.1)". Lineage: Eukaryota; Metazoa; Chordata; Testudines; Emydidae. The record is from RNAcentral.
CUGAAAGGUGCUCAGCUGACAUCCCCACAGUCUCUCCAUGAAAAGUACAGCACAGGCAGCAGCAAUACAAACUUCCCCAAAGUUCUCCACCAACAUACCUCAGCUGUGACGCAGGGAGACUUACCUCUAGAAGUGUGAGGUUCAUGCAGUCUCCACACUCAUUCAGUCCUUGGCUCAU